CGGACGGGUGAGUAACGCGUAGGAACCUGUCGUGCAGUGGGGGAUACCAGCGGGAAACCGCUGCUAAUACCGCAUGUGAUCAGCAAUGAUGAAAGCCGAAAGGCGCUGGAUGAGGGGCCUGCGUCCGAUUAGCUGGUUGGUGGGGUAAGGGCCUACCAAGGCGACGAUCGGUAGCUGGUCUGAGAGGAUGGUCAGCCACACUGGGACUGAGACACGGCCCAG
Molecule: ribosomal RNA, 222 nt
Filed under: uncultured bacterium
Lineage: Bacteria
Description: partial 16S ribosomal RNA
Rfam family: Bacterial small subunit ribosomal RNA
Source: RNAcentral